AGUAAAAACAUUAAAAACACACGAAUGAUUGCUAAAAGCAAGACAAAACUAAAAACUAAUAAUCGGAACUAGACCUACAGUAUGAAUACUGUUCUCAUGCAGGCAAUUAAUGCAUAAAGCCGUCCAGCUGUCUUUACUGUGAAAUUGUUUGCUGAAAAAUUAUUGUGUAUAUUUCACUUGUGGAUCUGAAUUGUUUCUUGUUUGUGUGUUUUAACCCUCAAGCCUGGAGUGGAUGCUCAGUUGGACUGGUGUGGUGCAGCCUUACUUGAAGAACAUCCCUAGGAUCUCUCAUUCCACAGUACUAUAGAUUUCCUUCUGUCUGGCUGAUGCUGGGACCCUAGUACCACCACAGUUCUGUCAUCUUUUUCGUUCUGGCUUAAGAAGUGGAAUAAUUCAGGUCACCUCUACUAGAAAUCGGUUUGCUGGAACAAUUGAAACAGCAGUUCUUGAAGUGGAAGAAAAGGAGGUUCUGUGCCCUGACCCAAGGAGUGUGACCUUUUCUUCAGAACCCUCUCUGGACACGCCCUCCUAGCAUCCCCUAGGAAAGAUGCGGCAGCUCAAAGGGAAGCCCAAGAAGGAGACGUCCAAGGACAAGAAGGAGCGGAAGCAGGCCAUGCAGGAGGCCCGGCAGCAGAUCACCACGGUGGUGCUGCCCACGCUGGCCGUGGUCGUGCUCCUGAUUGUGGUGUUCGUGUACGUGGCCACGCGCCCCACCAUCACCGAGUGAGCGCCGGAGGAGGGGGAAAGUAGCAGAAACAUGGCUUUCGUUGUCAGAUUUUCCUGAUGCUGAGCUCUGAGCAGGAGCGCACCUGUCUUCUCUGCUCUUUGACUUGAUUAAAGCUUUUCCACUUUCUUGGGAGGGAAUAGGGAGCGUUUUAUCAGUCAACGUGCCAUACACCUUAUGGUCCACUUCAUGUGCCUUUCAGACUUCAAAGCCGUGUGUGUGUGUUUCUUUUUCUCUCCUAAGUCCAUGUGUAGCUCCCCCUGGUGAGAGGAGGAAUCUCGGGAUCAUGAAUGAGUUGGAAUCAGUGCUCACCCCAUCCCCAUUGUCUUGAACAUGACUCUUUUCUUACAUGUGUCCACAAUUUCCAAAGGGACUGUAUUUCUUCUCUGUGCUUAAUGUGAUUUUAAAUAUGUCGACUCAAAAGUGAAAUAUUUAUUUUUCGAAUAAAGGAGAUAAUAGCCUUAA
This is a non-coding RNA of Miniopterus natalensis, 1189 nucleotides long. Lineage: Eukaryota; Metazoa; Chordata; Mammalia; Chiroptera; Miniopteridae. The record is from RefSeq and is a predicted model, not a curated record.